ACAUCUAACAGUUGAGAUUGUAUAAAAAAUAAACUGAUUAAAAAAAAAAAUUUGAAGGGAGAGAAAAAAUAUAGAUAGACGGUUGAGAUAGUGGACCAGAGAGGAUCCAGAUCCUUAAUAUUUCAACUUAAUUGAAAAUACAUGAUUCGAGUUUUAUUAUGAUUAAAUAAAUUUGGGACGGAGGGAGCAUCAUAUCAAUAAUCUUUGCUCAGUUUCAGGUUGCUUUUUAUGCAUUUGGAAACUCCUCCUCCCCUUGUCUAAUUCAUGAGGUGGAUUGGAAGAAAAGAGAUUGAGAUUCCAUGAUCUGAAUCUGAAUGUGUGGAUGAGAGUGCUUUGAUUAAUCAUGAGAAAACAAGUAUAUUAAUUUCAAUUUGGUUUCUAUGGAAGUAUUGGAUUGUCCAAUAUUUUUCAUGCAGAAAUUCAAGCACUUUUGGUUGGCGUCAAAUUGUAUCGGCAAA
RNAcentral lists this long non-coding RNA (458 nucleotides) under Trifolium pratense (red clover). Its description in RNAcentral is "long non-coding RNA (TPRA_LNC000113)". Lineage: Eukaryota; Viridiplantae; Streptophyta; Magnoliopsida; Fabales; Fabaceae. The record is from RNAcentral.